Molecule: long non-coding RNA, 247 nt
Filed under: Lathyrus oleraceus (garden pea)
Lineage: Eukaryota; Viridiplantae; Streptophyta; Magnoliopsida; Fabales; Fabaceae
Description: Pisum sativum (pea) long non-coding RNA (PSAT_LNC012882)
Source: RNAcentral
AAAUUGAUGAGGCAAAAGAAAUUAUGGUAAUCAACCACAGUGAGGAGUGAGAUAUGAUUGGCCUACACACGAGAGGAUUUAUAAGGAAAGAGAGUUUCGUCUAAGCACGAGAGGUCUUAUAAGACGAGCAAUGAAUAAGGAAUGUUUGGCCUACACACGAGAGGAUUUAUAAGGAAAAAGAGCUUUUUCUAAGUAGGAAAUGUCUUAUAAUACGAGCAAAGAAUAAUGAAUGAUCGGCCUACACACG